UCCUCUCACAUUAUAAUUGUUCUUCAAUAAUAAGUUAGUCCUCUUGAUUGAUGUAAGAGAGAAGAAUCGUGGAGAGGUUGUUACCUUCUUUAUGUAUUUUAUAUUGUUGUCAUUAUUUACUGGGAGCAGUCCUCUUACAUCUUUCUAGACCAGAUAGGGGAGGAAAAAAUAGAUACCCCAAAGGGUAAGGGGAACAGAUACCCCUCAGAGAUAAAAAGUAUAAUGAGAUACUUGAUGCAAUAUGCAUGUCGAUACAGAUACAUUUCAGACCAUACAGACUUCAUUCUAAUUUUUUCUUUUUCUUUUCUAUUUACUUUUUUUUUAUUAAGGAUUACAUAUUACAUAUAUUACAUGCAAAUUCAUCAAGUGUCAGUAAUUCACAAAGCAUGCUUGAAAAUCAGAACAAUUGGACUCUUUGGAACACAGAGGCAUGCAAAAUAGAUAAAAUAACAAUCAUAUUAAAUUUUCUUAUCUAAAAAUACUCCUUAAAAUGUCGAAAGUAAUACUUGAUUCCUUACCAAAAUCUUGGUGUUUUCUUUUUCACCAUUUUCCUUUCUUUCUCUUCUUCUCUCACUAAUUUACUAUCUCUCUCUCUCUCUAAACCUUUGAGAAAUAGAAAAAAUGGAAGUGUAGAGAGGAAGGGAAGGAGAAGGAAAAUUUAUAGAAUUUCAGAACUGUUGGAUUUGUGCCAAGUGGCGAAAUCUAUUAAAGAGAAAGGAGAAAAGAUUCUUGGCACAAAAAACAAGGGAGGAAAAUUU
RNAcentral lists this long non-coding RNA (758 nucleotides) under Carica papaya (papaya). RNAcentral describes it as "long non-coding RNA (CPAP_LNC016244)". Lineage: Eukaryota; Viridiplantae; Streptophyta; Magnoliopsida; Brassicales; Caricaceae. The record is from RNAcentral.